Molecule: ribosomal RNA, 356 nt
Filed under: uncultured Desulfobulbus sp.
Lineage: Bacteria; Pseudomonadati; Thermodesulfobacteriota; Desulfobulbia; Desulfobulbales; Desulfobulbaceae
Description: bacterial SSU rRNA
Rfam family: Bacterial small subunit ribosomal RNA
Source: RNAcentral
CUGGAGACAGGUGCUGCAUGGCUGUCGUCAGCUCGUGUCGUGAGAUGUUGGGUUAAGUCCCGCAACGAGCGCAACCCUUGCCUUUAGUUUGCCAGCAGUUCGGCUGGGCACUCUAAAGGGACUGCCGGUGUUAAACCGGAGGAAGGUGGGGAGUGACGUCAAGUCCUCAUGGCCUUUAUGACCAGGGCUACACACGUACUACAAUGGCCGAUACAAAGGGCAGCGACACUGCGAGGUGAAGCCAAUCCCGUAAAAUCGGUCUCAGUCCGGAUUGGAGUCUGCAACUCGACUCCAUGAAGUUGGAAUCGCUAGUAAUCGUGGAUCAGCAUGCCACGGUGAAUACGUUCCCGGGCCUU